Molecule: long non-coding RNA, 293 nt
Organism: Branchiostoma floridae (Florida lancelet)
Lineage: Eukaryota; Metazoa; Chordata; Leptocardii; Amphioxiformes; Branchiostomatidae
Exons: 3
Source: RefSeq, a predicted model, not a curated record
UUCUGUUUGAGUUUGAAACUUAAAUUGAGCUUGGUUUGAAUCCACAGUUUUCUUGUCUAGCUACAAGUUUUGCCCCAUUUUAAGUCUAUAUUUUCGGAGAAACCAAGUACCAGAUUCAGCACCAGGACCCGUUUUCAGCUGGGAUACGUCACAGGUCUGGGCCAGUCCAAUAAGAAGAAACAGUUUUGUACCAGCACACCAUAGACAUAGUAGUUGCAACUGCAGAUGGAAAGAGAAGCCAGUCCAAGUCAUUAUAAGCUCCUCAAAGUGCUGGGACAAUCCAGGCAUCCCUU